UACGGAGGGUGCGAGCGUUGUCCGGAAUCAUUGGGCGUAAAGCGCGCGCAGGCGGUCUUCCAAGUCCGUUGUGAAAGCCCUGGGCUCAACCUGGGAACUGCGAUGGAUACUGAGGAGCUGGAGUACGGUAGAGGAAGGUGGAAUUCCCGGUGUAGCGGUGAAAUGCGUAGAGAUCGGGAGGAACAUCAGUGGCGAAGGCGGCCUUCUGGACCAGUACUGACGCUGAGGCACGAAAGCGUGGGGAGCAAACAGG
Molecule: ribosomal RNA, 253 nt
Filed under: uncultured bacterium
Lineage: Bacteria
Description: partial 16S ribosomal RNA
Rfam family: Bacterial small subunit ribosomal RNA
Source: RNAcentral